This 76-nucleotide transfer RNA is filed under the name Balneola sp. Its description in RNAcentral is "tRNA-Val". It matches the Rfam family "tRNA". From Rfam's summary of the family: Transfer RNA (tRNA) molecules are approximately 80 nucleotides in length. Their secondary structure includes four short double-helical elements and three loops (D, anti-codon, and T loops). Lineage: Bacteria; Pseudomonadati; Balneolota; Balneolia; Balneolales; Balneolaceae. The record is from RNAcentral.
GGGGGAUUAGCUCAGUUGGGAGAGCGCCUGUUUUACACGCAGAAGGUCAUUGGUUCGAUUCCAAUAUCACCUACCA